This 459-nucleotide ribosomal RNA is filed under the name uncultured bacterium. RNAcentral's name for it is "partial 16S ribosomal RNA". It matches the Rfam family "Bacterial small subunit ribosomal RNA", at positions 338 to 795 of the family's 1533-position model. The record is from RNAcentral.
CCUACGGGUGGCAGCAGUGAGGAAUAUUGGUCAAUGGCCGAGAGGCUGAACCAGCCAAGUCGCGUGAGGGAAGACGGCCCUACGGGUUGUAAACCUCUUUUGUCGUGGAGCAAAGCCAACCACGUGUGGUUCAUUGAGAGUACCCUAAGAAAAAGCAUCGGCUAACUCCGUGCCAUCAGCCGCGGUAAUACGGAGGAUGCGAGCGUUAUCCGGAUUUAUUGGGUUUAACGGGUGCGCAGGCGGAGGUGCAAGUCAGCGGUCAAAUUGCGGGGCUCAACCCCGGACUGCCGUUGAAACUGGAUGCCUUGAGUGCGCGAGAAGUAUGCGGAAUGCGUGGUGUAGCGGUGAAAUGCAUAGAUAUCACGCAGAACUCCGAUUGCGAAGGCAGCAUACCGGCGCGAAACUGACGCUCAUGCACGAAAGCGUGGGUAUCGAACAGGAUUAGAUACCCCAGUAGUC